This 315-nucleotide ribosomal RNA is filed under the name uncultured eukaryote. RNAcentral's name for it is "partial 18S ribosomal RNA". It matches the Rfam family "Eukaryotic small subunit ribosomal RNA", at positions 1470 to 1796 of the family's 1831-position model. The record is from RNAcentral.
CCCUUAGACGUUCUGGGCCGCACGCGCGCUACACUGACCAGUGCAACAAGCAUCCGUCCUUGGCCGACAGGCUCGGGCAAUCUUUGAACGCUGGUCGUGAUGGGGAUAGACUUUUGCAAUUUUUGGUCUUCAACGAGGAAUUCCUAGUAAACGCAAGUCAUCAACUUGCAUUGAUUACGUCCCUGCCCUUUGUACACACCGCCCGUCGCACCUACCGAUUGAAUGGUCCGGUGAAGCCUCCGGAUUGGCGCGCACCUCGGUGCCGCCGAGAAGUUGGCUAAACCUUACCAUUUAGAGGAAGGUGAAGUCGUAACA